RNAcentral lists this ribosomal RNA (806 nucleotides) under Amnibacterium sp. RNAcentral describes it as "bacterial SSU rRNA". It matches the Rfam family "Bacterial small subunit ribosomal RNA", at positions 49 to 868 of the family's 1533-position model. The record is from RNAcentral. Lineage: Bacteria; Bacillati; Actinomycetota; Actinomycetes; Micrococcales; Microbacteriaceae.
UUACCAUGCAAGUCGAACGGUGAUGCGGAGCUUGCUCCGCGGAUCAGUGGCGAACGGGUGAGUAACACGUGAGUAACCUGCCCCUGACUCUGGGAUAAGCGUUGGAAACGACGUCUAAUACCGGAUGUGUCCUUUGAAGGCAUCUUCGUUGGUGGAAAGAAUUUCGGUUGGGGAUGGACUCGCGGCCUAUCAGCUUGUUGGUGAGGUAAUGGCUCACCAAGGCGACGACGGGUAGCCGGCCUGAGAGGGUGACCGGCCACACUGGGACUGAGACACGGCCCAGACUCCUACGGGAGGCAGCAGUGGGGAAUAUUGCACAAUGGGCGCAAGCCUGAUGCAGCAACGCCGCGUGAGGGACGACGGCCUUCGGGUUGUAAACCUCUUUUGGCAGGGAAGAAGCGAGAGUGACGGUACCUGCAGAAAAAGCACCGGCUAACUACGUGCCAGCAGCCGCGGUAAUACGUAGGGUGCAAGCGUUGUCCGGAAUUAUUGGGCGUAAAGAGCUCGUAGGCGGUUUGUCGCGUCUGCUGUGAAAACGCGAGGCUCAACCUCGCGCCUGCAGUGGGUACGGGCAGACUAGAGUGUGGUAGGGGAGAUUGGAAUUCCUGGUGUAGCGGUGGAAUGCGCAGAUAUCAGGAGGAACACCGAUGGCGAAGGCAGAUCUCUGGGCCAUUACUGACGCUGAGGAGCGAAAGCGUGGGGAGCGAACAGGAUUAGAUACCCUGGUAGUCCACGCCGUAAACGUUGGGAACUAGAUGUGGGGUCCAUUCCACGGAUUCCGUGUCGCAGCUAACGCAUUAAGUUCC